Molecule: long non-coding RNA, 215 nt
Organism: Varroa destructor (honeybee mite)
Lineage: Eukaryota; Metazoa; Arthropoda; Arachnida; Mesostigmata; Varroidae
Source: RefSeq, a predicted model, not a curated record
AAUAUGUCAACGUCUUUUGGUGGACAGUUGGUGUCGUUGGCUUCAGCCACGCUUAGCUCUAUCAUAGAACUUGUUUGCAGGGCUCUGUUGUAUCGGGAAUGUAAGAACGGACAUCAGUCAAAAUCAAAGUGCCCAGAAGCCUUCGUUUAUCCCAGAGGCCGCAGAAAAGCUAUUCAGUCUUUCGUUAGAUAAGUCGCCCAACCCAUUACUCGAAA